AGCCUAUUAGCUUAAAGAUAAAGCCAAAUACUUCUAAUAUUUUGAUUUUAGUUCAAAUCUGAAAUAGGUCA
Transfer RNA from Chaetomium globosum CBS 148.51, 71 nucleotides. It matches the Rfam family "tRNA". Rfam says of the family: Transfer RNA (tRNA) molecules are approximately 80 nucleotides in length. Their secondary structure includes four short double-helical elements and three loops (D, anti-codon, and T loops). Lineage: Eukaryota; Fungi; Ascomycota; Sordariomycetes; Sordariales; Chaetomiaceae. The record is from Rfam.